This 167-nucleotide ribosomal RNA is filed under the name Listeria monocytogenes. RNAcentral's name for it is "partial 16S ribosomal RNA". It matches the Rfam family "Bacterial small subunit ribosomal RNA", at positions 1 to 159 of the family's 1533-position model. Lineage: Bacteria; Bacillati; Bacillota; Bacilli; Caryophanales; Listeriaceae. The record is from RNAcentral.
UAUUUUAAAGAGAGUUUGAUCCUGGCUCAGGACGAACGCUGGCGGCGUGCCUAAUACAUGCAAGUCGAACGAACGGAGGAAGAGCUUGCUCUUCCAAAGUUAGUGGCGGACGGGUGAGUAACACGUGGGCAACCUGCCUGUAAGUUGGGGAUAACUCCGGGAAACCG